Molecule: long non-coding RNA, 421 nt
Filed under: Ursus maritimus (polar bear)
Lineage: Eukaryota; Metazoa; Chordata; Mammalia; Carnivora; Ursidae
Description: lncRNA (ENSUMAG00000005431.1)
Source: RNAcentral
GCUCACCCUUAUUAACAGGAAUGGUUCCUUUGCAGCAUGUAUCAACAAUCAGUCGUUUCCUUUUUCACAAAGUGAACUUUAAAUCUCUUCUUUUCCUUGCCCCAAGACCUUUCAUGGCAUUUGAUAUCGACUCUCAAGUAUGUUGAAAUGGAAAAUAGUAUGCAAGUUGCACAGAGCAGGAAGAAGAAUGGUUACUCUGACUACAAUAACCUUAGCCUCCUUCUUUAUGAAUACAACAUGCAUUUUCCAUACAGCCAGGAACAGACUUCAGAACACACGAGACAGGAUGGUAGUUUCAUCUCUUGGACCUUGGUUUCCCCAUGAAGAAAGACCGUACGCCUUCCUUGCCGAAGCCCAGGUAAAUGCCCCUCCAAGGGAACACUGCUACAGGUGUUAAGUGUGAGCAACACUCAUGUUUUUA